Molecule: ribosomal RNA, 460 nt
Filed under: uncultured bacterium
Lineage: Bacteria
Description: partial 16S ribosomal RNA
Rfam family: Bacterial small subunit ribosomal RNA
Source: RNAcentral
CCUACGGGUGGCAGCAGUGAGGAAUAUUGGUCAAUGGGCGGGAGCCUGAACCAGCCAAGUAGCGUGAGGGACGACGGUCCUAUGGAUUGUAAACCUCUUUUGUCGGGGAAUAAAGGCGUCCACGGGUGGGCGGAUGAGUGUACCAGAAGAAAAAGGAUCGGCUAACUCCGUGCAAGCAGCCGCGGUAAUACGGAGGAUCCGAGCGUUAUCCGGAUUUAUUGGGUUUAAAGGGAGCGUAGAUGGGUUGUUAAGUCAGUUGUGAAAGUUUGCGGCUCAACCGUAAAAUUGCAAUUGAUACUGGCAGUCUUGAGUACAGUAGAGGUAGGCGGAAUUCGUGGUGUAGCGGUGAAAUGCUUAGAUAUCACGAAGAACUCCGAUUGCGAAGGCAGCCUACUAAACUGCAACUGACAUUGAUGCUCGAAAGUGUGGGUAUCAAACAGGAUUAGAUACCCUAGUAGUC